CCUACGGGUGGCAGCAGUGGGGAAUAGUGGGCAAUGGGCGCAAGCCUGACCCAGCAACGCCGCGUGAAGGAAGAAGGCUUUCGGGUUGUAAACUUCUUUGAAGAGGGAAGAGCAGAAGACGGUACCUCUGGAAUAAGCCACGGCUAACUACGUGCCAGCAGCCGCGGUAAUACGUAGGGGGCAAGCGUUGUCCGGAUUUACUGGGUCGAAAGGGCGUGCAGCCGGGAGGACAAGUCAGAUGUGAAAUCCCGCGGCUCAACCGCGGAACGGCAUUUGAAACUGUUUUUCUUGAGUACCGGAUAGGUCAUCGGAAUUCCUUGUGUAGCGGUGAAAUGCGUAGAUAUUAGG
Molecule: ribosomal RNA, 348 nt
Filed under: uncultured bacterium
Lineage: Bacteria
Description: partial 16S ribosomal RNA
Rfam family: Bacterial small subunit ribosomal RNA
Source: RNAcentral